UGUCAGAUGAGAAAAAAGAAGAAACCCGCAUAAUGCUCUUGCUUGUAUCACUACUCUUUAAUAAGCUUGACAUAACGGCCUCGCCUCUAUUCGAAUAGAGGGUGUACAUAUAACAUAUUAAACACGUCUGUAACAUAUUGUCAGCGAAUGUGUUAAUUUAAACAAUCAUAAUAUGAAAACGUUUAAUGUAGAGGAAACAUUCAAACAAAGACACAUAGGCUUCUAUACUAGGAUUUGUGUUUUUGUUUUUUAUAUCAGAAAUAAAAAAGAACAUUUAUAGCUCAAUAAAUCAUGUUAAAGAUGAAUUAAAUAUAGAAUAGAAUUUUCAGUGCAAAAAUCUCCUGGUUAGCUGGGUACCAGGGUGAGGUGCACUGUAAUAAGGUUGGUUUAGUGAGCGCCUCAGUGCAGACUUUUGAGUGAGCAAAUACAGUAUGAGAAAACGGUGGGUCAACAGAGGAAAUUCUGUGGUGAUACAGUUUUGAAAUAAAGUACAAUAUGAAAACAGAACCGUUUUGAAUUCAUCCUUACAAUAUAUCACUUUUUUUUAUUGCAUCUCACAUUUGUUUAUUUAAUUCACUGACAUAUAUGCAUUCGUGCUCAAGCCUACUGUGCUGUAUGUUAAAUGUGUCUCUGUGAAAUCCUUGAACAGUAAUCAUUUAAAAAGCUGAGAAGAAUAUGAUUCAUGUCUUCCGAAGUCCUCAAGUCUGCUACCAUCCUUCUCUUCUGCGGCUGUCAGAGUAAAUCCAGAGCAAACUGCCCUUUCGUUUGAGUAAAUGCCCUUGCUGUUUGCACAGAAAGAGUCUACUACUGAUGUAUAUCUACAGCUACUGGAUAACAUGACUACACCAGAUAAAAGUAUAGUAGGACUCAGAUCAACACAAUCCAUCAGGUCGCAAAGGGUGCAGACAUUCACCCCCACACAACAACAACCAUCAGUUACACACACACACACACACACACACACAGACAGACAGACAGAGGGCGAGAGAGGGUGAGAGAGAGAGAGGGCGAGAGAGGGCGAGAGAGAGAGAGAGAGAGAGGGCGAGAAGAGAGAGGGCGAGAGAGGGCGAGAGAGGGCGAGAGAGGGCAAGAGAGAGAAAGAGAGAGAGAGAGAGAGAGAGGGCGAGAGAGAGAGAGGGCGAGAGAGAGAGAGGGCGAGAGAGAGAGGGCGAGAGAGAGAGAGGGCGAGAGAGAGGGCGAGAGAGAGAGAGAGGGCGAGAGAGGCGAGAGAGAGAGCGAGAGAGAAAGAGCGUCUAUCAAACCAAAAUUGUUUCUCUGAAAACUCCCAGAACAUUUGUUAGGUUGAGGCAAAUUUUAUCAUAACAGGGCGAGAGAGAGAGCGAGAGGGCAGAGAGAGAGAGGGCGAGAGAGAGAGAGGGCGAGAGAGAGAGCGAGAGAGAAGAGGGCGAGAGAGAAAGAGCGUCUAACAAACCAAAAUUGUUUCUCUGAAAACUCCCAGAACAUUUGUUAGGUUGCGGCAAAUGUUAUCAUAACAGGGCGAGAGAGAGGGCGAGAGAGAGAGAGAGAGGGCGAGAGAGGGCGAGAGAGAGAGCGAGAGAGCGAGAGGGAGAGGAGAGAGAGGGCGAGAGAGAGAGGGCGAGAGAGAGAGCGAGAGGGCGAGAGAGGGCGAGAGAGAGAGCGAGAGAGAGAGGGCGAGAGAGAAAGAGCGUCUAACAAACCAAAAUUGUUUCUCUGAAAACUCCCAGAACAUUUGUUAGGUUGCGGUAAAUGUUAUCAUAACACAAAAACUGUCCCGUCGUGCUGAUGAUUAUACAAUGUUUGUAUAAACAUUUGCCUGAUGUUGCAAGAACGUUCCCAGAACAUUGCGUAUACAUUUUGUUGCAACAGUAUGUUCAAAAAACAUUGCUGGUACAUUGUGUUAUUACAUUACCAGGAAACAUAACGAGAAUGUUGUUUGGGGAAUGGUGGUUGUUACAGAUGUUGUGCGUUUUUGUGAAUGUUAGGAGAACGUCCUAAUUUUGUAUAAAAACCCUUUCUUAUGUUCUGGGUAUGUUCCCGGUUUGCUGGGCAGUCUGUCCUGUCUCUUCACUGGGGUCAGCCAGUCAAGUCAGGUGAACCAUGAGAGUCCAUACAGCACAGUCCAUACAGCACAGUCCAUACAGCACAGUCCAUACACUACACACUGUAGCAAUAGAAUAGUGUUGACAUUCAAAAGAGUGUCACUGAUCCUUAUCAAAUCUUUCAGAUUUUGUAGAAUCUAAGAAGAAGCCUGCUCCCUCUUCUCUCCUCUGACUUUCAUUUCCCUCGGCUUUGACUGCGAUGGAAAUAUCCCUUGCUGCUGUGUCGGCUCCACGGACAGCAUAACUCACAAGAACUGCCAAAAUAAUGCCUAUAGGAAUUCCAGUACAUGCGCCAAGUGUUCCAUGUUCUGCACCUGCAACUGCUCCCAUGAGUGCCCCCACUACAGCAGUCAUAAUCACUAUUAGUGGUUUGACGUAGUGGCCCACCACAGACAAGGCCUCUUCCCUGUAUCCUUGCUUGACGGCCUGUAGGUCCACCUUCUGAUGGUCAGCCAUUACCGACCCGUCCUCUUCUCUGUGCUUACUUCAAAGAAUAAACACACACACAGAGACAGUUCAUGAAUCAGAUCACCGUUACAGAUGUAGGAUCUUAAAUUUGAGCCAGUUUGCUAAAGCAGGAAAAUAAACCUGCAGCAAUAGGGAAUGUGAAUUAUUACGUGGAUUAUUUUUUAAGGACAGUUCUGUAGUGGUUGAUACAUUUUUCCUUUGGGUAAAUCUAGUCUGAAAUGUCAAAGUGGAAAUUACUAACUUUAGAAGCAAUUUUAAAU
Molecule: long non-coding RNA, 2809 nt
Organism: Oncorhynchus tshawytscha (Chinook salmon)
Lineage: Eukaryota; Metazoa; Chordata; Actinopteri; Salmoniformes; Salmonidae
Source: Ensembl